RNAcentral lists this transfer RNA (69 nucleotides) under Chamaeleo namaquensis. Its description in RNAcentral is "tRNA-Ile". Lineage: Eukaryota; Metazoa; Chordata; Lepidosauria; Squamata; Chamaeleonidae. The record is from RNAcentral.
GGAAGCGUGCCCGAAAAUAGGGACUACUUUGAUAGAGUAACUACAGAGGAAACAACCUCUCUCUUCCCA